CUCCGCUGAACCAAUCAAAACGAAUCAACAAAUUUUAGGUGUAAAUACUUAUGACAAAGUAUCUGCUACAAUCCCAAUCGGCUGGAAGACAAACGGCCAGCGUGUGGGAACCAUAUCAAUCGUGGCGGAAAUCAGUCCAAGGUUUGAAAUUGGUUUCCAAUCGGAUCAAAAAAUCGAAUUUAUUUAACUGAAGUUUUGGUCAACUAUGCAUUCGAUGGCAUCGAUGAGUUGGAGCUUAGAGGUUCGAACUUGGCAAAUAAAGAUUUCACUCACAACUCUAAAUAUCCAUAAAAUAUUCAGUCGAUGCACAAAAAUGUAACAGUGGAAUCCUAAAAAUUCUGAGGUCACCACGACCUUCCAAAAAUAAUAACAGCAUACUUGUUUA
Drosophila teissieri is the source of this 385-nucleotide long non-coding RNA. RefSeq lists it as uncharacterized. The record is from RefSeq and is a predicted model, not a curated record. NCBI's taxonomy places the organism in Eukaryota, Metazoa, Arthropoda, Insecta, Diptera, Drosophilidae. The transcript is spliced from 2 exons.